This is a non-coding RNA of Ciona savignyi (Pacific transparent sea squirt), 120 nucleotides long. The record is from Rfam. NCBI's taxonomy places the organism in Eukaryota, Metazoa, Chordata, Ascidiacea, Phlebobranchia, Cionidae.
GCUUAUCACCAUUCCAGAUUGAAUAUACCCGAUCUCGUCUGAUCUCGGAAGUCAAGCAAUCUCGGGCUUGGUUAGUACUUGGAUGGGUGACCGCUUGGGAAUCCCCAGCUGCGUUAAGCA